This 503-nucleotide ribosomal RNA is filed under the name Clavispora lusitaniae. Its description in RNAcentral is "eukaryotic LSU rRNA". It matches the Rfam family "Eukaryotic large subunit ribosomal RNA", at positions 86 to 658 of the family's 3401-position model. The record is from RNAcentral. Lineage: Eukaryota; Fungi; Ascomycota; Pichiomycetes; Serinales; Metschnikowiaceae.
ACGGCGAGUGAAGCGGCAAAAGCUCAAAUUUGAAAUCCUGCGGGAAUUGUAAUUUGAAGGUUUCGUGGUCUGAGUCGGCCGCGCCCAAGUCCAUUGGAACAUGGCGCCUGGGAGGGUGAGAGCCCCGUAUGGCGCACGCCGACUCUUUGCACCGCGGCUCCGACGAGUCGAGUUGUUUGGGAAUGCAGCUCUAAGUGGGUGGUAAAUUCCAUCUAAAGCUAAAUAUUGGCGAGAGACCGAUAGCGAACAAGUACAGUGAUGGAAAGAUGAAAAGCACUUUGAAAAGAGAGUGAAACAGCACGUGAAAUUGUUGAAAGGGAAGGGCUUGCAAGCAGACACGGUUUUACCGGGCCAGCGUCGAAAAGGGGGGAGGAACAAGAACUCGAGAAUGUGGCGCGCACCUUCGGGCGCGCGUGUUAUAGCUCGUGUUGACGCCUCCAUCCCUUUUCGAGGCCUGCGAUUCUAGGACGCUGGCGUAAUGGUUGCAAGCCGCCCGUCUUGAA